RNAcentral lists this ribosomal RNA (455 nucleotides) under uncultured prokaryote. RNAcentral's name for it is "partial 16S ribosomal RNA". The record is from RNAcentral.
CCCUAUGGGGUGCAGCAGGCAGGAUGAGUGGCCACUCGGUCUGGAGCGGUCGUCGCAGGGCCUUCAUGUCGCAGUUCUUGGGAAGGACUCCCAACUCGUGCGCCAACUCGGCGAUGCAACGUGUGUGAUCCCGGAUCAAAGCGUUGUCGAACGCAAAGGGCCGACUCCGGACCUGUUCCGACAACCAGGCGCACACCUCGCCCAGAGCGGCAAGGUUGCGCGAGAGAAUCAAUGCUCCGUAGGCAGCUAGCAGCGCGCGUUCGCGAAUCGCGUCGUCAUCCGUGUUGAACAUUCGUCGAACCAGGGCCAGCGUGAGUUCUGGCUUCACCCAGAGCAGAGCGGUCGCGGCCCGCGACGCCCAGUCCUUGAUCCGUCGGUCUGCCGCCGCUGUGAACCAAAGCAGGACGGUCGUCCAACGCUCAGCCGCCUGGGCGUCCAUUUUGUUCAAGGAGGGC